This 502-nucleotide ribosomal RNA is filed under the name Veillonella parvula. RNAcentral's name for it is "bacterial SSU rRNA". It matches the Rfam family "Bacterial small subunit ribosomal RNA", at positions 28 to 499 of the family's 1533-position model. Lineage: Bacteria; Bacillati; Bacillota; Negativicutes; Veillonellales; Veillonellaceae. The record is from RNAcentral.
GACGAACGCUGGCGGCGUGCUUAACACAUGCAAGUCGAACGAAGAGCGACGGAAGCUUGCCUCUAUCAAUCUUAGUGGCGAACGGGUGAGUAACGCGUAAUCAACCUGCCCUUCAGAGGGGGACAACAGUUGGAAACGACUGCUAAUACCGCAUACGAUCUAAUCUCGGCAUCGAGGAUAGAUGAAAGGUGGCCUCUACAUGUAAGCUAUCACUGAAGGAGGGGAUUGCGUCUGAUUAGCUAGUUGGAGGGGUAACGGCCCACCAAGGCGAUGAUCAGUAGCCGGUCUGAGAGGAUGAACGGCCACAUUGGGACUGAGACACGGCCCAGACUCCUACGGGAGGCAGCAGUGGGGAAUCUUCCGCAAUGGACGAAAGUCUGACGGAGCAACGCCGCGUGAGUGAUGACGGCCUUCGGGUUGUAAAGCUCUGUUAAUCGGGACGAAAGGCCUUCUUGCAAAUAGUGAGAAGGAUUGACGGUACCGGAAUAGAAAGCCACGGCUA